UCUUGUAAAGAGGGAUAGGAGAAUUGGAGGGCAAGUUUGGUGCCAGCAGCCGCGGUAAUACCGACUCCAAGAGUGUGUAUGAGAGAUGCUGCAGUUAAAAAGUCCGUAGUCAUAGAAGGGCAAAGAGAGAUGCGAGGUCUCACAGUGCGAUGAUGGAGGAGCCGAUGGGGAACAUAGUAUACCAGGGCGAGAGAUGAAAUGCCAAGACCCCUGGUGGACUGAGCGAGGCGAAGGCGAUGUUCUUGUAGGCAUUCGGUGAUCAAGGACGAAGGCUGGAGUAUCGAAAGUGAUUAGAUACCGCAGUAGUUCCAGCAGUAAAAGAUGCCGACAUGCUCAUUGGACACAGUGGGCAGGGAGAAAUCUUAGAGUUCGGGCUCUGGGGAUAGUAUGCUCGCAAGGGUGAAAAUUAAAGAAAUUGACGGAGCUACACCACAAGGAGUGGAUUGUGCGGCUUAAUUUGACUCAACGCGAGGAAACUUACCAGGGCCAAGUAUUGUGUAGAAACGAGCAAUACAGGAGUGGUGCAUGGUCGUUGGAAAUUGAUGGGAUGACUUUGACCUUAAAUGGUUGAAUGAGUGAGAUCUUUUGGACAUGUUCCGCACGGAACAGGAAGGAAAAGGCUAUAACAGAUCCGAGAUGCCCUCAGAUGCCCUGGGCUGCACGCGCAAUACAAUAGCAGGUAGAGAGAGAGACAGGAAGGUGCUCAGAUGGACUAUGUGCUGUAAGGCACAUACGAAAGAGGAA
RNAcentral lists this ribosomal RNA (744 nucleotides) under Vittaforma corneae. Its description in RNAcentral is "SSU rRNA". It matches the Rfam family "Microsporidia small subunit ribosomal RNA", at positions 351 to 1133 of the family's 1311-position model. Lineage: Eukaryota; Fungi; Microsporidia; Nosematidae. The record is from RNAcentral.